UGAACCACUACCACCACUUCUUUGCUCCAUUUGCUUCUUGAAUAACAUCCCCAAAACCCAGAUUUUUCUCUGGUCGAAUGAAACCACUUUCGUUUAUGAAUCUUGAUUUACCCAAAAUUGAGAUGUGAUUCUUAAACCCCAAUUUGUUACAAUCACCAUAAACAGAUUUAAUCAUCAUCAUCAUCUAGAGAAAUGAGGAAGUUUGAAUUUUUUCACACAUAAACCCUAGAAUUUUUUUCUCCCCAGACUCUGAAUUUCUCUUCAGUAAAUUCUUAAAGUUUUCUUUCGGUUUUAGUGAAAAACACUUUCGAUCAGGAAAGGAAGUUACGGCGGAUUCUGAACCUUCGAAUGUACCUGGACCGUCCACUGAGCCUGUGAGGAACCAGUUUCUUUCGGAAACCAUCUAAGAACAAAAACAUUAAGAAAGCGAAAGAAUAAUGGUGGUGAGGAGGAGUGGAGGACAAUGGAGAAGAAGGUUCCACAGUGAUUCAGAAAACCCAAAUUGGCUACAAUUCUCCAAAAGCUGAUAAUAAGCUACAUUUUUCAACUGUGACGUCAACGAAACAAUGGGUUGAAACAAAUCAAGGAGAUUAUAAGUCUGAUGGCAGAUGGAGAGAGAAUGGGAGGAAGCUAAGAAGAUUCGAAAGAGGAAUUUGGCUUUAAAAGCAGAUGAUGAUGAUGAGGAGGAGGAUGAGAACGGAAGAGUAAAUGUGAGUGAUGAUGAUGAAGAUGCGCUGCCUUUUGCGCGUUUCAUAUGUCGGUUGUCUUUCGUGGAUCCAUGGUUGCCAAAUGCAAGCACUAAUUCUGUGAGCAUUGUGCUCUUUAAGGCCUCGUGACUCCACAUUACAGAGAAGAAAUCAAAUUUUCUAGGGAAAAGCUGCACUCAAGCCAAGAAGGAGUUUCCAUAUAUUUUACAUGCAAAAGAUAUAUCCAGAUGAAUGGAAAAACUUUAUUUUGUGAACUUUAUUCGGAUGUACCUGAACCAUCCACUCAACCUGUGAAAGAACCAUCCAAGGAACCAGCAGAAGAUUCACUGAAGAAUUUGGCUUCAAAAGCAGAUGAUGAGGAUGAGAAUGAGAAAUUGUUCGAUAAAAGCAGAUUGCGGAGGAUGAGACUGGAAGAGCAAAUGCGAGUGAUGAUGAUGAUGAAGAUAAGCUGCGUUUUGCGUGUUUCAUCUGUCGAUAGUAUGGUAGGCCAUGGUGGUGAUUGAAAAUUUGAAAUGCCCAAAGCCAUUCGACAUUCCUUACUCUCAUUGGCGCCGUAAGUAAGGAGGAAAUAUUGUAUUUGGAAACAGGUCUGCACAAAACCACGCUCUAUGGCAUACCAAAUCAUUUGCGGCCGUCAAAAAUUACCUCCAACAAACACACAGGGCAGUAGCAAGACCUUGUGCUCAUUGGAUGAAGCAAAAUCAUCCGCACUUACAGUUAGAGUGAUCAGUUCAUAAUCAUAAUCAAUCGAAAUGUUGCUAGAUCAUCUUCAGGUCUGCACGAAACCACGCUCAGUGACAUACCAAAUCACUUGCAGCCGUCAAAAAUUACCUCUAACAAUCACACAUGGCAGCAACUAGACCUUGUGCUCCCUGGAUGAAGCAAAAUCAUCCCCCCUUACAGUUAAGUGACCAGUUCAUAAUCAGAAUCAUCAGCUUGUAUUCAAUCCAAGUGUUCCUUACACACAAUUACAAUCACACAUGGCAGCAACUAGACCUUGUGCUCCCUGGAUGAAGCAAAAUCAUCCCCCCUUACAGUUAAAAGUGACCAGUUCAUGAUCAGUGAUAGUAGAGCUCAGAUGAGUUGAUGUGGGUAUGGGUUCUCUCUUGAAUUUGGAUGCAUAUUUUGAUUGUAUUUUCAUGAUUGCCAAGUGUUUGUAAAUAUGAAACUGAGAACAUUUCUAAGGAUCUUACUAGAAUCAUGUACACACUUGCAUUUCAUCCUAAAUUACUAAUGCAUCUCAAGUAUGUGUGCAUGCUCUUGACAUUUUAUUUCUGUAGAGUUACUUUUUGUGCUUCUCGCCUUUGGUGGUUAUUCUUAUGUUCGGCUUGUUCCUAUGGGUCCUUAAUUUCCCGGUAACAUUUAACAUAUUUAGAUGCACUCUAGCUGAUAACCACUGCAAUUUCUUAGUAACUUCGCUACCAGCCUCACCACCUGACCAUUAUAGUUUGCGAAAUGAUAAUAUGAUAGUCUAUUGAAAUUAGCAGCUUUGGUGUUCUGUGACUUAAUAAGUCAUUUCAAUUGGGUUGAUAAAACAUUGGGAUUCAUUUAAAGUGUUACCGAUCAAAUGAAGGUCGGUAUUUUUUACAGCAACAAAUCAACUUAUAUUUUUCCUUGAUUAACUGAGAGUUCGCAUGAGCUCUCUUUCAGUAAAGCGAUAAGUUCAUUAUGAAUAUUCAUAACAAUUUAGGAUAUGAUAAUUGUUGGCCGAUUCAAUGGCCAUCUUGUCGGAGUAGGUUUCUUUGAAAUGAGAGUUAGUUGAUGACCAUCUAGGAUCAAAGAUUUCUCAUUCAGACUCUAGUUUAUAAGAAAUAAAAAUUACAACUUCCGUUUCAGGAAAAGUGAUGUUUUCACUUGUUUAUUUUUACUCUUUUAUUUUUACCUAAUAAUAAGUGAAAUAAAAAAAGUGAAAAAAUAUCACUUUUCUAUAAACAAACAGAGAGUAGGUUUUUUUAUUUUAGCUAAGGUAAAAAGGAGAGCGGGUCCCACUAUUAGUAGAUAUUUGCAUGCUACUAGAAAAUGGCCGUAGAUGGACUGACAAAAGCCAGGUGCAUAAAUCUGGUGAUGGUGAUUUUCCACUCUGAAGUACUACUCAAAGUGCAUGGGAAUUCUUCUUAGAGGAAAAUUCCUAGACAUUUCCCAUUUGACCUCUUCUUCUUCUUCUUCAUCACCUGCAUAUUUUUCUAAGAUCAUCUCCCAUCACUGGUACAAAUUCUUUACAAAGGUCUUUAAAAAAUAGCAAAAGAAGAAGAGUCUGUCUUGGGUAGUUUGAAAUUUUCUGAACAUGUCUUGUUUUUCAAGAAGAAAUACCAAGGCUAAGCAGCAACAGGAAAGGGAGAUUAUGCCCAUGACUGAUACUGAUCAGGUUGUACCACCAGCUCUUGUUGAGAUUGCUCCAAUCCUUCGUGUUGCUGAUGGAGUUGAAGCACGUUACCCUAGAGUUGCUUAUCUGUGUCGAUUUUAUGCCUUUGAGAAAGCUCAAAAGUUGGAUCCAGCUUCAAGUGGACGAGGUGUUAGCUCAUAUAAAUCUGCUCUUUUACAGCGUCUAGAAAGGGAAGACAUACCCACCUUAACGGGAAGAGUGAAAAAGACUGACGCACGUGAGAUUAAGAGUUUUUACAAGCAGUACCACCGGAAUUUCAUGGAAGCAUUGCAGAAGGCUGAUGAUAAAGAUGAUCUUACAGAACUUAGAAAGGUGUGGCAAACUGUUGGUGUCCUAUACGAGGUAUGUAAGUCUGUGAACCUGAAACAUGCGGUUCAAGUAGCUGAUGGUUUAAAGUUAGCAGUACCCCCACCUCCAUUUCCAAUUCGUCGUUAGAGCAUGCCAUGGGAAUUAAGGCAACUUGAAAGAGGAAAAAAGUUUGGAAGUUACUGUGAAUCAAAGAAAACAAACUCUCAGAUAUGUGUCUAAUUAGUACCUGCAACUACUGAUUACUGUUGUGUAUUUAAAGACAGAUUACUCGUGUUCUUCAUAUUUGCACUCCGAUUAGUGAAUGUUAAUAUUGUUAUUGAUUUA
Papaver somniferum (opium poppy) is the source of this 3723-nucleotide RNA transcript. It is a transcript of the gene named callose synthase 3-like, with no coding region annotated. The transcript is spliced from 10 exons. Lineage: Eukaryota; Viridiplantae; Streptophyta; Magnoliopsida; Ranunculales; Papaveraceae. The record is from RefSeq and is a predicted model, not a curated record.